Molecule: ribosomal RNA, 165 nt
Filed under: uncultured bacterium
Lineage: Bacteria
Description: partial 16S rRNA
Rfam family: Bacterial small subunit ribosomal RNA
Source: RNAcentral
UAGGGAAUCUUCGGCAAUGGACGGAAGUCUGACCGAGCAACGCCGCGUGAGUGAAGAAGGUCUUCGGAUCGUAAAACUCUGUUGGUAGAGAAGAACGUUGGUGAGAGUGGAAAGCUCAUCAAGUGACGGUAACUACCCAGAAAGGGACGGCUAACUACGUGCCAC